RNAcentral lists this long non-coding RNA (2099 nucleotides) under Androctonus crassicauda. Lineage: Eukaryota; Metazoa; Arthropoda; Arachnida; Scorpiones; Buthidae. The record is from RNAcentral.
CAGCUAAGAAAGCAGAACCUGUAUCUCGCCCUAAACAAAAAAUCUUACCUGAACACUUGGGUAUGAGAGAGGCGGCGUGACCGCUUUUUAGCGUACGAUGCCUAAAGAACAGCAAAGGCGUAUUCCUUCUGCCUCUGUGGAGAAUACUUCGUGGAAAUUGAAUAGGGUUAGGGCGUCCAAUCGGGAGCAAAUGCCCAUGUCUGACCCGGGAGUUGGCCCCGACGACUCUUAGGGGCCGGAAGCAACAGAAAGGCCGCCGGUGAAGCUCGAACACGGUUUAGAGUCCAUGGAAGAUGAAAAAAUGCAAGGGAUAACAAAGCGAGGCGCCAAUACGCGAGACCAGCCGUAAAUACGGCUUACAGGAGCGGCCCCGAGGCAACACAGUCGAUGUAAGGCCACUUGGAAGGAAAGCGUUGAUAGGCAUUCGACAGUAACCGCACGCAAGGGCGUCGAACGGCGGCGCGCCUGGAACAUUAAGACCAACUUCCACCAGGCAGCCGAAGUUCUGGCUCACGCGCAGUGCUCGACGUAACCCAACGGGAACACCACGCAUGUACUCCCACCACGAUGAAACAAAUAUAGCCUCCGAAUGAUUACUGGUAGAUUGACAAGUUAGCAAAGUGCGUAUGGGAGUCUCCUACGGAAGCAGAGAUCCCGGCAUCGAGGCCACACGGAAGCAAUGAACACUUACAGCUUCCGAUAAUUAGAAGAUAUAAAAAGAAACUGUAACGAAGAAGAAAGCAGAAAACGGAUAAGGGAAGUGCGAAAAAAUCAAGAAAAUACAAAGGGGUAAAAUUUUUCUCUCGCGCGGCCUUUUGGCGCGCGCGAAUCUUUUGACGUCCCCCUAAAUCUCAACUCCGUUGUCGCUUGCUCAUCCCCAAAACCUUAUCAGCGCCUUUUUUCAUGUCAUAAACAUAUUGUACAAUCACCUCUUUCGAUGUCAUAGAUACAUCUUCCAAUCAGAUGCGUGCUACAGCUCAUCUAGAAUCUUACCAAAUUAUCUAUUGUAGUGAAAUAAUUAAUUUACAAGAGAUAUAUUUAUAACUAAUUCGAAUUGAAGUGUUUUGAUUUAACUGUUCAAAAUACGUACUCUUUAGAUUCUACGCUGGCCCUAAAAAUCCAUCCAAAAUAGGAUAAAGGUGCCAAUUAUGUUUAUGAGUCCCUGUAUUCCCAGAACCACUUGGAAGAUUAAAUGCACGUUUUUCUUUUAUAUAUCGGUCGAUAAGAUUUCUCCAUUUCUUUUAAGAUGUUCAACUGCAUAGAGUAUUAAAAAAUAGUUUUGUAUUGUUUAAAUUAUAUCACCUAACACAGUGCAAGAUUUUAGGAUGAAUUUUAAACAAAACGGGUUAACUAACCUGUUGAUUUUAAUCCAGUUUAUAUUUCCGACCACCGGUUCUCUUUUGUUACGAUGUUUUAACGCGGCUGUGAUCGUCUUAGUGCCCGUCAAAAUAAAUACAUGCACAAGCCGGUUUCACCAACUCAACCACGUUUAUUUAUCACUACUACUGUAUAUACCAACAAACAGACAUGGAUAACUAUUAUACGGGCAAGGUUCUAGCUCCUAAACCCUACAAUUUCUACUGCCAGGUCACCCAAGAACUGGCUACCGCUAUCCGUGAUAACGACUAACCGAUCAGAUAUCCAAAUAACCAUUAAAUACUUAUCGUGAUCUGUUGGUUUCUCUGCGCGACACCGUCGUGCGGCUGUGAAGUAACCUUGGAGUCCUACUGGUCGUCCUAAACGACCAAUACUUGGAGUUUCUCCACUUCCCACGUGAGAGACGUGGAUAUUCAGGCGAAUAGGAUCAUCUUCCCUAUCUAUGACCUCAGAGACGAGGGGUUCUUUCUGGGUGCUCUGAGUAAGUCUAUUACUCGUUAUUUAUCAAAUGUUGGAUAAUUGGCAUUGUCAGAUCUCACUCCUCUUAUUAGUAUGUACAAACAGUUAGUAGCAGUAAAUUAUAGAAAGAAAUUCUAUAUUUUUUAAAAUAAAAUUUAAUUCUUAAUUAUUCCAAUUCAAUUCAUUUAUAAAAUUUUAAUUAUAAUAAAAUCUUAAUAUAAAAAAGUAGAUAUUUAAUUUGUUAAUUCAUAGUUCAGUCUUAU